Xenia sp. Carnegie-2017 is the source of this 249-nucleotide long non-coding RNA. RefSeq lists it as uncharacterized. NCBI's taxonomy places the organism in Eukaryota, Metazoa, Cnidaria, Anthozoa, Malacalcyonacea, Xeniidae. The transcript has 2 exons. The record is from RefSeq and is a predicted model, not a curated record.
GUCAUGUUAGGCAUCGUACACGUACUUAACCCCAAGUGUACUGUUUAAUGAAGCAUGUAGGUACUUAAACUGUCAUGUUAGGCAUCGUACACGUACUUAACCCCAAGUGUACUGUUUAAUGAAGCAUGUAGGUACUUAAACCUCUUGAAAAGUCCUUAAAUUGAAAAAAUCGAUUUUAAGGGUACUUGAAAAGUCCUUAAAAAUUUUAAAUCCAAGAAAGGCUAGUAAAUGCUGUCCAGACAUAAACGA